Molecule: ribosomal RNA, 473 nt
Filed under: uncultured bacterium
Lineage: Bacteria
Description: bacterial SSU rRNA
Rfam family: Bacterial small subunit ribosomal RNA
Source: RNAcentral
AGGACGAACGCUGGCGGUGUGCUUCAUACAUGCAAGUCGAACGAUAAGGUCCCUUCGGGGAUACAUAAGUGGCGGACGGGUGAGUAACACGUAGAAAAUCUACCUCGAGGAAGGGGACAACAGUUGGAAACGACUGCUAAUACCCUAUAUGAGCUGGGCUGAAACGCCUAUCUUGAAAGUUCCGGCGCCUUGAGAUGAGUCUGCGUCUGAUUAGCUAGUUGGUGGGGUAAAUGCCUACCAAGGCGACGAUCAGUAGCUGGUUUGAGAGGAUGACCAGCCACAAUGGGACUGAGACACGGCCCAUACUCCUACGGGAGGCAGCAGUAGGGAAUUUUGCGCAAUGGGGGAAACCCUGAACCGCAGCAACACCGCGUGAACGACGAAGCCCUUCGGGGUGUAAAGUUCUGUCAGUAGGGACGAAUUUUGACGGUACCUACAAAGGAAGCAUCGGCUAACUACGUGCCAGCAGCUGC